This 76-nucleotide transfer RNA is filed under the name Thermaerobacter sp. RNAcentral's name for it is "tRNA-Ala". It matches the Rfam family "tRNA". Rfam says of the family: Transfer RNA (tRNA) molecules are approximately 80 nucleotides in length. The record is from RNAcentral. Lineage: Bacteria; Bacillati; Bacillota; Clostridia; Eubacteriales; Clostridiales Family XVII. Incertae Sedis.
GGGGGCGUAGCUCAGCUGGGAGAGCAAUUGGUUCGCAAUCAAUAGGUCCGGGGUUCGAAUCCCCGCGCCUCCACCA